AUGUGGCCGGGACGAGCAACAGCGAGAGAUCGCGAUGGCUGUGCAAUCACUCGUGGCGGAGGAAUCUUUAAAUGGGUGGCUGCGGCGUCGGGCAUCUCGCAUCGGAUGUAUGAUUGUUGCGCAGAUCCGAAGCUCAAUGGUGAUUGGAGUAGUGGCAUCGUGCGAUUGGAGGGGUGUAGUAGCAGAAUUUGGAGUGUAGUAUCAUUGGAAAGAUUUGGAUGA
Vicia faba (fava bean) is the source of this 222-nucleotide non-coding RNA. The record is from the annotation of a GenBank genome assembly. NCBI's taxonomy places the organism in Eukaryota, Viridiplantae, Streptophyta, Magnoliopsida, Fabales, Fabaceae.